GAAUUCAAAAAAUCUAAGUUAUUACAUUCUCCCCUCCCUAAAAAUGAAUUUGGUCCUCCAAAUUGAACUUAUCAGGUACUAUAAACAGAUGAAGGUUCUUAGGUUUCAUUUUAUCUUCUAGUUUUCAUAUGAAUUACUCAGUGGCUUGGAGUUGCCAAAGUACCUUUAUGAAUAGAAUUCCUUAGAAAUGUAAUUGAAAAUAUUCUCU
RNAcentral lists this long non-coding RNA (208 nucleotides) under Carica papaya (papaya). RNAcentral describes it as "long non-coding RNA (CPAP_LNC001018)". Lineage: Eukaryota; Viridiplantae; Streptophyta; Magnoliopsida; Brassicales; Caricaceae. The record is from RNAcentral.